RNAcentral lists this transfer RNA (67 nucleotides) under Semisulcospira libertina. RNAcentral describes it as "tRNA-Gly". RNAcentral also lists the same sequence under 1 other name. The record is from RNAcentral. Lineage: Eukaryota; Metazoa; Mollusca; Gastropoda; Semisulcospiridae.
AUCUCUUGAGUAUGAUAUGUACGGCCGCCUUCCAAGCGAAAAGAUUAGGUAUAACUUAAAGGAGAUA